AUCGAGGCAAGUAUGCACCCCGAACCGUGUCAGGGUCGGAAGGCAGCAGCACUAAGGAGACCGUAUAUUGUGCCUCACCUUU
This 82-nucleotide signal recognition particle RNA is filed under the name Weissella oryzae SG25. RNAcentral describes it as "Bacterial small signal recognition particle RNA". It matches the Rfam family "Bacterial small signal recognition particle RNA". From Rfam's summary of the family: The signal recognition particle (SRP) is a universally conserved ribonucleoprotein involved in the co-translational targeting of proteins to membranes. Archaeal SRP consists of a 7S RNA and homologues of the eukaryotic SRP19 and SRP54 proteins. The record is from Rfam by way of RNAcentral. Lineage: Bacteria; Bacillati; Bacillota; Bacilli; Lactobacillales; Lactobacillaceae.